RNAcentral lists this long non-coding RNA (8907 nucleotides) under Triticum aestivum (bread wheat). RNAcentral describes it as "long non-coding RNA (TAES_LNC027137)". Lineage: Eukaryota; Viridiplantae; Streptophyta; Magnoliopsida; Poales; Poaceae. The record is from RNAcentral.
CCUGAUAAUUAAGCUACAUUAAUUCCCGGCUAAUGAUGCAACAUCAUCAUGAUUACUGUUGUUAAACUCUCGUUAGUUCGAACCUGGUCCAAAUUCAAAUUUAACUUAAAGUCCAAAAUAAAAGUUUUCAAACAUGAAAGCUAAAAUGUUCAAAGUGUGGCAAAUAAUCGAUGGAUAUUUGUCAUGUUGGAACAAACCUCUUUUGGAUUCCGAAAGUGCCCCUGGAAAUUAUUUAGUGGUCCAGCAUCUUUUGAAAUUGACCUUUUCAAUUUCUAAAAAUGGUUAGACAACUCCUUUUGACCCCAUACUUUUUGUUCCAUCUCAAUUUAUUGUUUUAGAAUUAUGUGCCACGUUUCGCUCAAAACAAAACUCUUUUGACACAAAAACAAAAUGCAAACAUAGGCAAAAAAAAUGAGUUAAACAAAAGAAACGGAAAGACCCGAUUAGCAAAAGAAAACAAAACCCCUCCCCACUAAUUCCCCUGGGCCUUGGCCACUGGACAGGCCCAACCCACCGCCAGGUCGUUCCCCUUCCUCUGUUCAUCGGGAGCUCGUGGACAGAGGGCGGCCGUACACGGUGCCGAUGGCCACGGGGCGGCCAUCCACUCCCCUUGGCGCCCUACAAGGUUGCUCCCUCCCCCCUGCGAAACCCUAGCCCACCGUUUUCCCCUCGCUCGUCUCUCUCCCUCUUAAUUUCUUCCAUGCCCGGGCACAACCGUCGUCGCGCCGCCAUCGUUGUCGUGGUCGACGUCCAUCACGAGCCGCAACGAGAAGACCAGGAGGUGGGCACCAGCAUCCUCGACACCUGGGUAGAAGGAGCUGUACCGCGGAGUCCCGAGCCUCGCCAUCGACCUGUCUUCGUCACCACGGUCGUCGCCGCCGAUUUCGUCGAUCCGCUCGACCUCUUGCUUUCCCGGAUUCCCCGAGACCACUACGAGCACCAAUGUGAGCAUCCGGUCCUUCGCAACCCCCUCUUCCUCCUCCCCAUGCCCCUUAGGCACCGAUUCGUCGAGCUCCGCCCGUUGACCACCGUCGCGUACAGGCCUCUGACUGCGCCCCGCCUCUGACUGUGCCCCGCGUGCGUCCGCGUGCCCGCAGCCGCGCUCGCCUCGCUUGUUACCGCCAGACCACGCCUGCUCCGGCCUGCCGCCGACCACGUCGUAGUUGCCCCGCACACUACCCCCGCUCUCCCCUGCUCGCGUGCUGCUUGCCGCGGCGGCUACACUCACCGCUGCUUCUCCGCCNNNNNNNNNNNNNNNNNNNNNNNNNNNNNNNNNNNNNNNNNNNNNNNNNNNNNNNNNNNNNNNNNNNNNNNNNNNNNNNNNNNNNNNNNNNNNNNNNNNNNNNNNNNNNNNNNNNNNNNNNNNNNNNNNNNNNNNNNNNNNNNNNNNNNNNNNNNNNNNNNNNNNNNNNNNNNNNNNNNNNNNNNNNNNNNNNNNNNNNNNNNNNNNNNNNNNNNNNNNNNNNNNNNNNNNNNNNNNNNNNNNNNNNNNNNNNNNNNNNNNNNNNNNNNNNNNNNNNNNNNNNNNNNNNNNNNNNNNNNNNNNNNNNNNNNNNNNNNNNNNNNNNNNNNNNNNNNNNNNNNNNNNNNNNNNNNNNNNNNNNNNNNNNNNNNNNNNNNNNNNNNNNNNNNNNNNNNNNNNNNNNNNNNNNNNNNNNNCCAGGGCCGCGGGUGCUUCCAGUGCGCCCCUGCCGGAGGCCGCCGCCGCCGCUGGUUGUGGCCGAGGCCGCCGGCACACUCCAGCGCCCGUGCGUGCCCGGCCGGCCCCUGUUUAGCUUAGGGGCAAACCCCCCCUCUGAUUAGGCUACUCCCCUGCUAAUUACAUACUAACUAGUGGGCCCCUUAGAUAAAACAGCUCACCAAAUCCCUCUAUUAAAGUGUACAACCAAUGACAUGUGGGUCCCCCUUAUUUUAGAUUAAAGGAAAACCAUUUCAUAAGUCAUUAGGACACUUACAUGUGGGACCCCCCUGUACUAUUCAUCUGUUGAACGGUCAAUGUUGACUGGGUCAACUGGGUCCCCCUUGGCCCACCUGUCAUCCCCUGGGCACACUUCUGUGUACCCUGUGCUGGGUGCACAUAGCAUUUUUCCAAUUAAUUUCGAAUUAAAAAUAAUUUCAGAAUAUUGGUAAAACUUUAGAAAAUCAUAUAAAAUAAACCGUAACUCGGAUUAAAAUAAUUUAUAUAUGAAAGUUGCUCAGAACGAUGAGACGAAUCCAGAUACGUAGCUCGUUCAUCCGCCACGCGUCCCUAGAAUAGAGAACCUGUGACAUUUCACCUUUGGUUCAUCUGUCCGAAGACACAAAACACCGGGGAUACUUUCCCGGAUGUUUCCCCCCUUCACUGGUAUCACCUCAUACCGCGUUAGAACACGUCUAGCUCUGCUUGUUGACCUGUUAUGCACUUGCUUGCUAUGUAUUUACUGUUUCUCCCCCUCUUCUCUCGGGUAGCCCCCGUGACGAUGCUGAUGCCCCUGUGGACGACUACGUCACCGACGACCCCUCCUUCUUGUCUGAGCAACCAGGCAAGCCCCCCCUUGAUCACCAGAUAUCGCAUAUUCUCCUCUAUACUGCUUGCAUUAGAGUAGUGUAGCAUGUUACUGCUUUCCGUUGAUCCUAUUCUGAUGCAUAGCCUGACAUUGUUGCUACAUCUGUUGAUACCUUACCUGCAAUCCUAAAUACUUAGUAUAGGAUGCUAGUUUAUCAUCAUUGGCCCUACAUUCUCGUCAGUCUGCCUUGCUAUACUAUCGGCCCGUGAUCACUUGGGAGGUGAUCACGGGUAUAUACUAUACAUACAUACAUACUAUACAGAUGUUGACUAAAGUGGGGUCAGCUCGAAGAGUACCCGCGAGUGAUUCACGGAUUGGGGGCUGAAAGGACCCUUGUCCCGACGGCCCUCUGUGUGGAUCUUUGUGGCGGAGUGACAGGGCAGGUUGAGACCACCUAGGCGAGAGGUGGGCCUGGCCCUGGUCGGCGUCUGCGGUUGCUUCAUAAUAACACACUUAACGAGAUCUUGGUAUUUGAUCUGAGUCUGGCCAUUUGGUCUAUACGCACUAACCAUCUACGCGGGAGUAGUUAUGGGUAUCCCGACGUCGUGGUAUCAGCCGAAGCCUUCUUGACGUCAGCAACUGAGCGGCGCGCGCCGGAUUGGACAGGAACGCCACUAGGCUAGGUCUGCUUCCGGCCGCCCACGCAACGUGUAGGUGUGCUCAGGGCGAUGGGCCCAGACCCCUGCGCUCUUAGGUUUAGACCGGCGUGCUGACCUCUCUGUUGUGCCUAGGUGGGGCUGCGACGUGUUGAUCUUCCGAGGCCGGGCAUGACCCAGGAAAGUGUGUCCAGCCAAAUAGGAUCAAGCGGGUUGGGUUAUGUGGUGCACCCCUGCAGGGAAGUUAAUCUAUUCGAAUAGCCGUGUUCCUCGGUAAAAGGAUGACCCGGAGUUGUACCUUGACCUUAUGACAACUAGAACCGGAUACUUAAUAAAACACACCCUUCCAAGUGCCAGAUACAACCUGGUGAUCACUCUCUAACAGGGCGACGAGGAGAGGAUUGUCGGGUAGGAUUAUGCUAUGUGAUGCUACUGGAGAUGCUACUUGGAGAUGCUACUUGGAGAUGCUACUUGGGACUUCAAUCUACUCUCUUCCACAUGCUGCAAGACGGAGGCUGCCAGAAGCGUAGUCUUUGAUAGGACUAGCUAUCCCCCUCUUAUUCUGGCAUUCUGCAGUUCAGUCCACUGAUAUGGCCUCCUUACACAUAUACCCAUGCAUAUGUAGUGUAGUUCCUUGCUUGCGAGUACUUUGGAUGAGUACUCACGGUUGCUUUCUCCCCCCUUUUCCCCCUUUCCUUUCUUUCUGGUUGUCGCAACCAGAUGCUGGAGUCCAGGAGCCAGACGCCACCGUCGACGACGACCCCUACUACACUGGAGGUGCCUACUACUACGUGUAGCCCGCUGGCGACGACCAGGAGUAGUUAGGAGGAUCCCAGGCAGGAGGCCUGCGCCUCUUUCGAUUUGUAUCCCAGUUUGUGCUAGCCAUCUUAUGGCAACUUGUUUAACUUAUGUCUGUACUCAGAUAUUGUUGCUUCCGCUGACUCGUCUAUGAUCGAGCACUUGUAUUCGAGCCCUCGAGGCCCCUGGCUUGUAUUAUGUUGCUUGUAUGACUUAUUUAUGUUUUUAGAGUUGUGUUGUCAUAUCUUCUCGUGAGUCCCUGAUCUUGAUCGUACACGUUUGCGUGCAUGAUUAGUGUACGAUUGAAUCGGGGGCGUCACAAGUUGGUAUCAGAUCCGACUGCCUGUAGGAAUCCCCCUUCCACACUCCUUGGCUGAAGUCGAGUCUAGACAUUGCAAAAAACUUUUACUAACUUGGCUGUGUGCCUUACGGGCCCACGUCGCCACUGGGUGGCACUAGGAUCUUUUACUCCUCGACCUUUACUCUGGGAUUCUGAACUCUCUUCUAUUCGGGUUAAAUGAUUUUUACUAAAAUCUAACUUUAGGUUCUCGAAAAUACUUUCUCCCGGGGAGGCCCUUCAGUCCAGAUGAUUACCGACUGCACCAGAAGAUUUCGGAGAUACUCUUUGAUAUUCUCUCGAGACUUUGUUUCCAUCACUUUGCUAUUCCCGACCUUCGAUAAAUCCUUAUGGAUAACAACUUACACCUACCAUUCAUACGAUCAUCCCCCAUUGAUCUUGUUAUUACAAGAUACCCCGAGAAUAAUUUGUGCCUACUGCCUUGCAGUUCUUUGCCACCUGAAUACCCCUAAGAAUAAUUUCUCGCACCUUCCGAGUAUCCGCUCAUCCCAGUUGUUCAGGUGUUUCACAAAAGUCUUUGAAAUACUAUUCAAUCCUCCAAAAAUCCUUAGCAACUUUAUUGCUCUGCAAAUACUUGUCUACUAGCAUUAUGGAUGCUUCCCAUAUAUCUGGCAAUAUACACUAGUAUCUUUUGACACCGUCAUUUUGAUCCUAUUGAUUCAACAUGUGUGCGAAUGCACAGAAUCAUCUAUCAACCCUUCUAAAUUAUCUUUCCGGCUCAGACAUCAUUUUUGAACAUGAGCUGGUUCUCGACCAAACUAUUUGUCACCAAUUUUGCCUCUGGUCUAUCCAACUUAUCCAUCCUUGAUUAGAGCGACUGCUUUUGAUCCUUUGUUUUGGAAAUCGUAAUACCUUUGUUAUCUAAGCAUCGAGUUAUUCCGAUGUUCUAUAAUAUGAUGCUCGUGCCUUCUUUCUUCCCCUGAUGGAGUACCGAUACUCACAUCAGCUCCGUUGUGGAUCACCCGAUCCAUUGUUGGAUUGUUAUCCGACAGUGUCCUUCAUAGUCAAUCACCUUGUGAGUUCUUUCUCUGAUACAUAAUGCCUUUGGUAAAUGGUAUCCUCUCCUUUUGUCAAUCAUGCUCUGCUUUCGAGCUGGUGAUAUUUACUCUUGAAGCUUGUGGUAUAUGUUCCUAAGAAGCCCCGAUGGGUUGAACCAAUGCCUUCCCUAAUAUGUACAAACCCGAAAGAUUUCACGGGUCAUACAUAUUUGGUAUUGCACCAGGUAAAACUUUCCACAACUAAUGUCAUUUUCGAAAUACGAGAGGGCAAUGUAAGAUUAUGCAUUGAGGAAGUGGGAGUCGACCUUGAACCUUUGUGUUCAUGCCCAUGGAAACAAUGUAGAUCGUAUCAUUAAAGCUUCUCUUCAAAUAAAUAUUUCAUUAGUAUAAGUUUAUCUUAUAUCUGGGAUCUGGCAUUUUGCAAUCAUUGUUCCGGCCAUGUUCUCCUUUAAAUACCAUUUCCCGGACAAGUUGAAGUACUUGUCUUCUGCAGAUCUUUGCACUUGUCCAACCUUUACUUUGAUCUACCAUCGAGUAUUACACUCUGGUAUCUCGAAAAUAUCAUGGAACUGCAUAAUUUUUAUGGGUUCUUCAUCAACUGUCAUUUCUCACCGAUUCCAAUUUUCCUAGGUUCUGGGUUGUCGUUAACCGAGAACACCGAUAUGUGAACCGAGUCUGUACUACGGUUCAAUAACUCUAAGUAAUCUUUGUUGCUUAUGAGUUUAUUAAUCCUUCAAGUCAGUCCUAGCUUGGUCGGCUAUAUCAUUAUCGUACAACUUUUUAACUGUGCUACCUGGUCCUUUUUCCUGGAGCACAAUUUUCGACGAUGAGCUACGCUUACGUCGAUUUUCCUCAUCAUAUCAUUUUGCCUUGAACAACAAACUUGAUUUCGAGUUGUGUCGUACCCAUGGUUCCAAUAACCUUUCGCUUCAUCAUUCCUUUGACUUGUUGUCAUCGCCGAUCAAUUACACCUUCAUGAAAUCUCUCGACAAUUGUGUCGGAUCACCUUCAACACUUUGACUUCUUCCGAGAUGUUAACUGUGUUCAUGAUGAUAAAUACCCUCCUUGCCCUCGAUGAUUUUAUUAUCAUCGACAACACCCUUGACUUCCUUCCAUCGCGAGCUUGUCCACAUUAUGAAUACAACCCGCUCUCCAGCUAAUGUUGUGUUCUGCCUUGAAGCAUUACUGUCUUUUCUAUCAAGAAUGUUGUGAGGAUUGCUCCACUUCUUAAGAAUUCUUGAAAUAGUGAUACUUCUCCCCAUCACCUUCUUUCUUGGUCCCCGUGUUGUUUCUAACCGGAAUACCAACAAUUGAACUAUGAUGUGUGAAUUCAAAAGUCCUAGCAACCCUAUUUCUUUGAAGUGAACGGUCAAUAACUCCAUUCUAAGUCUUUUGGUUAUUGAAUCGCCAUUCUAACAUUGAUCAUGCUACCUAAGCCCAUAUUUCGGGUGCAUCUUUCAACCAAUGUUUAAUUGUGUAUGUUUCCCUCGAGCAUACAUCAUUAUAUCAUCAGAUCUGACAAGUGUUAUCUCCUUGUCCGCAUAAUUGUGGGAACCCAUCUUUUUGUAAAUCACAAUGAAUUUUUGCUGAGUCCAUCAGCCACCUCCUCAUCCCCUCCUUGGUGUAAUGAUGAACUAUUGUUUCAGGAACCCGCUGCCAUAGUUGAUUUCCCAAGAAUCUUACAAUGCUAUCUCGUCAAUUUUUUUUUGCACCUUUUCUUCUCAGGCAUCCUGAGUCCGAGGUAUCUUGAUUCCUAACAUCAAUCAAAUCUGAAUCUCGGUCAGAUAUGAUGGUUGGGUCAUAUUUCCAAGAGUUAUAAAAUUGGUCUUUAUAUGACCUGGUAAGGUGAUGUCAUGCCUAGCACACCUGGCCGGAGGACCUGCUGUUAUAGUUUCCUUAUUAGCAAGGUUAACCAUUCUUCCCUGAGGAAAUUAUAAGACUUAUUCUAUAAGUUGAUCCUGAUGGAUCCCUUAUGUAUCCAUAGUCCGAUCUUUACCUGUUGACCAUGUCAAUGCUAUCUCGAAGCAUGUCGGUGGUACUCCGAUCAUCAAUAAGAACAUUUGAAGCACAACGUUGAAUUUUCUUUAUCAAUUAUCCAAACACCGUUGUAUGGGUAAUGUCAUGAAGUUUCUCUCCCCUUACCUAAAAGGGCUUUCUACUUUAUAUACUAUCAUGCAUAUCAUGCCUUACUUGUCCGUGGGUAGAUAUACCCAUGGGAUAUGUGUUCUAACACGUUUUCCUUUCCAUUGUCCUGUCUAAUCUGAUAAUGAUAUAUUCCUUUCCAUUGUUUGGUUUAACCUCUCUGGUGAUCUAUAAGAUCUAAGCAGUAAAAUUAUCCUGCUUACGAAAACACCUCGGUGUACCACCUUAUCAGUCAGACCCUGUUACUAUUGUGGACGACAUUCGAGUAACCACCGAUGGACGAGAAUUUUGCCUAUUGGUCCGCCUCGUUCAACGAGCAGGAAAAUGGUUCUCUUCGUCCCUCACCGUUGGUAUCGUUCUUGUUGCCAACAUAACUGACCGGCUACCCUCUGACAUGGCUUGCUAUUGUGACCGUGCAAGAUGUCAGCCCCCUUUCUACUUUGACCCACAUGGUGGGCCCAUAACCCACAGUUCCACAGGAUCAAAACCUGACUCUCCUGUACAUCUAAUAGUUAUUCCUCGUCCGUGGCCUCGUAUAUAAUUCAAGAGCCACCUUCAAGUCUGAUAUCAGACACAAUACUUAUUCCCGUUGCUUUGAAUCCCUUUCACGCCCUGCAACAGGCAUCGAACAUUCCUGCCCGCUUGAAACUUUCCAUGAUACCGCCUUACUUUGCUCUCGAUAUUUUCUAAGUUUCAAUUCGAGAGUUACUUUCCGCCACCUUCCCCGAUGUUAUCGACUAGAUAGUCAGCCUUACAGAGGUCUGUUCCCCUGGAAUAACCCCCUUAUUCUUUCCUAAGUACGAUGGAGUUCCUGAAGAAAGGACGCCGACUUCACCAUGAUGACCUGAAGUAGAGAAAUGCAGACAUAAAUGUAAUGGAUCGACCUCUUCGAGAAGAGCAACCAAGGCCGAGAAGAUCCGUUAGAAUUUCGUAACUAGACCUUCCCCCCUUCUCUACCUCUUAAAUCUCGGGACGAGAUUUCUUGUAGUGGAGGAGAAUUGUGAUGCCCUGAUAAUUAAGCUACAUUAAUUCCCGGCUAAUGAUGCAACGUCAUCAUGAUUACUGUUGUUAAACUCUCGUUAGCUCGAACCUGGUCCAAAUUCAAAUUUAACUUAAAGUCCAAAAUAAAUGUUUUCAAACAUGAAAGCUAAAAUGUUCAAAGUGUGGCAAAUAAUCGAUGGAUAUUUGUCAUGUUGGAACAAACCUCUUUUGGAUUCCGAAAGUGCCCCUGGAAAUUAUUUAGCGGUCCAGCAUCUUUUGAAAUUGACCUUUUCAAUUUCUAAAAAUGGUUAGACAACUCCUUUUGACCCCAUACUUUUUGUUCCAUCUCAAUUUAUUGUGUUAGAAUUAUGUGCCACGUUUCGCUCAAAACAAAACUCUUUUGGCACAAAAACAAAAUGCAAACAUAGGCAAAAAAAAGGAGUUAAACAAAAGAAAGGGAAAGACCCGAUCAGCAAAAGAAAACAAAA